GACGAACGCUGGCGGCGUGCCUAAUACAUGCAAGUCGAACGCUGAAGGAGGAGCUUGCUCUUCUGGAUGAGUUGCGAACGGGUGAGUAACGCGUAGGUAACCUGCCUGGUAGCGGGGGAUAACUAUUGGAAACGAUAGCUAAUACCGCAUAAGAGUAGAUGUUGCAUGACAUUUGCUUAAAAGGUGCAAUUGCAUCACUACCAGAUGGACCUGCGUUGUAUUAGCUAGUUGGUGGGGUAACGGCUCACCAAGGCGACGAUACAUAGCCGACCUGGGAGGGUGAUCGGCCACACUGGGACUGAGACACGGCCCAGACUCCUACGGGAGGCAGCAGUAGGGAAUCUUCGGCAAUGGACGGAAGUCUGACCGAGCAACGCCGCGUGAGUGAAGAAGGUUUUCGGAUCGUAAAGCUCUGUUGUAAGAGAAGAACGAGUGUGAGAGUGGAAAGUUCACACUGUGACGGUAUCUUACCAGAAAGGGACGGCUAACUACGUG
This 495-nucleotide ribosomal RNA is filed under the name uncultured bacterium. RNAcentral's name for it is "partial 16S ribosomal RNA". It matches the Rfam family "Bacterial small subunit ribosomal RNA", at positions 28 to 507 of the family's 1533-position model. The record is from RNAcentral.